This 57-nucleotide transfer RNA is filed under the name Scarelus sanguineus. Its description in RNAcentral is "tRNA-Leu". RNAcentral also lists the same sequence under 1 other name. The record is from RNAcentral. Lineage: Eukaryota; Metazoa; Arthropoda; Insecta; Coleoptera; Lycidae.
UGUGGCAGAAAAGUGCAGUAAACUUAAGAUUUUCUUACAAAUUUUAUUUCUUUAGAA